RNAcentral lists this ribosomal RNA (468 nucleotides) under uncultured bacterium. RNAcentral's name for it is "partial 16S ribosomal RNA". It matches the Rfam family "Bacterial small subunit ribosomal RNA", at positions 28 to 507 of the family's 1533-position model. The record is from RNAcentral.
GACGAACGCUGGCGGCGUGCUUAACACAUGCAAGUCGAACGGACAGGCCCUGCUUUUGUGGGGUUCUCGAGUGGCGCACGGGUGAGUAACACGUGAGUAUCCUGCCCUUGUCUUUGGGAUAACUUCACGAAACUGGGGCUCAUACCGGGUAGGAGCUCCUGCUCCAUGGUGGGGGUUGGUAAGUUUCGGCGGUUGGGGAUCGACUCGCGGCAUAUCAGCUUGUUGGUGGGGUAGUGGCUUACCAAGGCUUUGACGGGUAGCCGGCCUGAGAGGGUGACCGGCCACAAUGGGACUGAGAUACGGCGCAGACUCCUACGGGAGGCAGCAGGCGGGAACAUUGCACAAUGAGCGGAAGCCUGAUGCAGCAACGCCGCGUGCGGGAUGACGGCCUACGGGUUGUAAACCGCUUUCGCAGGUGACGAAGAGUGAGUGACGGUAAUGAGUAAAGAAGCACCGGCUAACUACGUG